Long non-coding RNA from Fukomys damarensis (Damara mole-rat), 321 nucleotides. RefSeq lists it as uncharacterized. The transcript has 4 exons. Lineage: Eukaryota; Metazoa; Chordata; Mammalia; Rodentia; Bathyergidae. The record is from RefSeq and is a predicted model, not a curated record.
GCGCCUCUGCAACCGGGGUCCCCCCGCCGGAGCUCUUCCCCGGGCCUGGGGAGCGCGCGCUCGUGGGCUUCGGGCCACCAGUGCCAGCCAAAGACGCGGAGACCAGGGAGCGCAUGGAGGCCAUGGAGAAGCAGAUCGCCAGUCUCACGGGCCUGGUACAGAGCGCCCUCCUUCGGGGCUCAGAGCCUGAAACCCCAAGUGAGAAGAUUGAAGGCUCCAACGGGGCAGCCACCCCCUCAGCACCGUGCGGGUCAGGCAGCCGCAGCAGUGGAGCCACCCCGGUGUCCGGCCCUCCCGCGCCCUCGGCCAGCGGCGCCCCUG